Long non-coding RNA from Octopus sinensis (East Asian common octopus), 104 nucleotides. RefSeq lists it as uncharacterized. Lineage: Eukaryota; Metazoa; Mollusca; Cephalopoda; Octopoda; Octopodidae. The transcript has 4 exons. The record is from RefSeq and is a predicted model, not a curated record.
UGAGCUUACGUACAGCACAAACAUUUGCUCACUAUAAACAAUUCACCUAUGUAGGUUGCUUGGCAAGAAGUUACAGAAUUAUUUUCUUUGGACUACAAGAAGCA